CCUACGGGGCGCUGCAGUGAGGAAUAUUGGUCAAUGGGCGCGAGCCUGAACCCGCCAAGUAGCAUGAAGGAUGACUGCCCUACGGGUUGUAAACUUCUUUUAUAAAGGAAUAAAGUGAGGAACGUGUGCCUUUUUGUAUGUACUUUAUGAAUAAGGAUCGGCUAACUCCGUGCCAGCAGCCGCGGUAAUACUGCGGAUCUGAGCGUUAAACGGUUUUAUUGGGUUUAAAGGGAGCGUAGAUGGGUUGUUAAGUCAGUUGUGAAAGUUUGCGGCUCAACCGUAAAAUUGCAAUUGAUACUGGCAGUCUUGAGGACAGUUGAGGUAGGCGGAAUUCGUGGUGUAGCGGUGAAAUGCUUAGAUAUCACGAAGAACUCCGAUUGCGAAGGCAGCUUACUAAACUGCCACUGACAUUGAUGCUCGAAAGUGUGGGUAUCAAACAGGAUUAGAUACCCCUGUAGUC
This 460-nucleotide ribosomal RNA is filed under the name uncultured bacterium. RNAcentral describes it as "partial 16S ribosomal RNA". It matches the Rfam family "Bacterial small subunit ribosomal RNA", at positions 338 to 795 of the family's 1533-position model. The record is from RNAcentral.